ACUGAAAUUCUCCCUGGUGCUUGCUCUCAGGCCUUAGGUGUUAAUCGUGUUCCAUGAAAGAAACAGUGCACGCUGACCCUCGACACUGAGGAGCACGAUUCACUUCGACAGUUAGAACCCUAGCAACUUCUGCAACCUUGAGAGUUCAAGGACUGCAACAAAGACAAUCAGUGGAGAACCAUCGCGCCUGCAGUUUUCUCGGGAGAAUUGAACUGCAUGU
RNAcentral lists this long non-coding RNA (220 nucleotides) under Homo sapiens (human). RNAcentral's name for it is "HSALNT0160845". Lineage: Eukaryota; Metazoa; Chordata; Mammalia; Primates; Hominidae. The record is from RNAcentral.